UACGCAGGGGGCUAGCGUUGCUCGGAAUUACUGGGCGUAAAGCGCACGUAGGCGGCUUGUUAAGUCAGGGGUGAAAUCCUGGAGCUCAACUCCAGAACUGCCUUUGAUACUGGCGAGCUUGAGUUCGGGAGAGGUGAGUGGAGCUGCGAGUGUAGAGGUGAAAUUCGUAGAUAUUCGCAAGAACACCAGUGGCGAAGGCGGCUCACUGGCACGAUACUGACGCUGAGGUGCGAAAGCGUGGGGAGCAAACAGG
Molecule: ribosomal RNA, 253 nt
Filed under: uncultured bacterium
Lineage: Bacteria
Description: partial 16S ribosomal RNA
Rfam family: Bacterial small subunit ribosomal RNA
Source: RNAcentral